UACGGAGGGUGCGAGCGUUAAUCGGAAUUACUGGGCGUAAAGCGCGCGUAGGCGGCGUGUUAAGUCAGAUGUGAAAGCCCUGGGCUUAACCUGGGAACUGCAUUUGAUACUGGCAUGCUAGAGUUUGGUAGAGGCUAGUGGAAUUCCGGGUGUAGCGGUGAAAUGCGUAGAUAUCCGGAGGAACAUCAGUGGCGAAGGCGACUGGCUGGACCAAAACUGACGCUGAGGUGCGAAAGCGUGGGUAGCAAACAGG
This 253-nucleotide ribosomal RNA is filed under the name uncultured bacterium. Its description in RNAcentral is "partial 16S ribosomal RNA". It matches the Rfam family "Bacterial small subunit ribosomal RNA", at positions 524 to 776 of the family's 1533-position model. The record is from RNAcentral.